CCUACGGGGGGCAGCAGUGAGGAAUAUUGGUCAAUGGGCUUACGCCUGAACCAGCCAAGUCGCGUGCGGGAAGACUGCCCUAUGGGUUGUAAACCUCUUUUGUCAGGGAGCAACGCCGGCUACGUGUAGCCGGACUGAGAGUACCUGAAGAAAAAGCUUCGGCCAACUCCGUGCCAGCAGCCGCGGUAAUACGGAGGAUGCGAGCGUUAUCCGGAUUUAUGGGGUUUAAGGGGUGCGUAGGCGGAAUGCCAAGUCAGCGGUAAAAUCGCGGGGCUCAACCCCGCUCCGCCGUUGAUACUGGCGUUCUUGAGUGGGCGAGAAGUAUGCGGAAUGCGUGGUGUAGCGGUGAAAUGCAUAGAUAUCACGCAGAACUCCGAUUGCGAAGGCAGCAUACCGGCGCCCAACUGACGCUGAAGCACGAAAGCGUGGGUAUCGAACAGGAUUAGAUACCCCUGUAGUC
Molecule: ribosomal RNA, 460 nt
Filed under: uncultured bacterium
Lineage: Bacteria
Description: partial 16S ribosomal RNA
Rfam family: Bacterial small subunit ribosomal RNA
Source: RNAcentral